AAGACGAUACUUUUAGGGAUCAUUUCUAUAGUUUCUUACUAGGAAUUGUGUUUUGAAAGUGUUGUGCCUCCCAAACCGUGAUGAAGAGUGUUGAUGCUCUUUUCUGAGUGUGAAUCCAGUGUAGGGAAAUGACUUGUCUCACUAGUUCUACAUCGUUGAUGACCAUUCCUGAUUGCAGUUUUGGAGGGAAAGAGUAUGAGCUGAGCGGU
Molecule: small nucleolar RNA, 209 nt
Organism: Danio aesculapii
Lineage: Eukaryota; Metazoa; Chordata; Actinopteri; Cypriniformes; Danionidae
Product: small nucleolar RNA U3
Exons: 1
Source: RefSeq, a predicted model, not a curated record